RNAcentral lists this unclassified non-coding RNA (294 nucleotides) under fungal sp. RNAcentral's name for it is "partial internal transcribed spacer region". The stretch from base 1 to 46 matches the Rfam family "Eukaryotic small subunit ribosomal RNA", at positions 1786 to 1831 of the family's 1831-position model. Lineage: Eukaryota; Fungi. The record is from RNAcentral.
AAGUCGUAACAAGGUUUCCGUAGGUGAACCUGCGGAAGGAUCAUUAACACGUGUUCCACGUUAAACAAACCCCGUCUAUCUUCGGAUUGAUGGGCACCAAACAACCAUAGCCCUUCACGGGGCCUGCGUAGUUAUGUGGUUUUGUCGAGAGCCCAAGGUUGCGGACUUGAGGCAAGCCACAUUUUGUUAACCUUUCUUUUUUAAUUACUAUUUUUGUUUUGAGAGAUGUCAUCUUGUAUGAUAUCUUUUAAUACAAACUUUGUACAACUCUUAGCAACGGAUGUCUUGGUUUCC